RNAcentral lists this unclassified non-coding RNA (306 nucleotides) under Hevea brasiliensis (rubber tree). The record is from RNAcentral. Lineage: Eukaryota; Viridiplantae; Streptophyta; Magnoliopsida; Malpighiales; Euphorbiaceae.
CAAAAAACGAAAAAAAAAAGGUAUUGUUUUGUCGCAUAAGCAAUCCUGUGGUGGGAAGAUAUGAAUGCGAUCUCAGCUCUUCUUUUGGAUUUUCUAUUUUCGGCUUCAGUUGUACCCUUACGGUCUCCUUCUUGGCAACCAAAGGAGAUUUGGAGUUUGCAUAUAUAAACUAAAGGGAAUAAGGUGGUAAUUUCUGAGGAAUUAGACUUCAAAACCAAUGUAGCUUGUAAUUUGUUUUCCUUAUUUUAACCAGCCACAUACUUUUCCAUUGGUCCAUUGCCAGAUCAAUAAAAGAUAGACGAAGAG